RNAcentral lists this non-coding RNA (24 nucleotides) under Cricetulus griseus (Chinese hamster). Lineage: Eukaryota; Metazoa; Chordata; Mammalia; Rodentia; Cricetidae. The record is from RNAcentral.
GCGAGCUGGAGAGAGCAGAGGAGC